RNAcentral lists this ribosomal RNA (492 nucleotides) under uncultured bacterium. RNAcentral describes it as "partial 16S ribosomal RNA". It matches the Rfam family "Bacterial small subunit ribosomal RNA", at positions 29 to 507 of the family's 1533-position model. The record is from RNAcentral.
AGUGAACGCUGGCGGUAGGCCUAACACAUGCAAGUCGAACGGCAGCACAGUAAGAGCUUGCUCCUACGGGUGGCGAGUGGCGGACGGGUGAGGAAUACAUCGGAAUCUACUUUUUCGUGGGGGAUAACGUAGGGAAACUUACGCUAAUACCGCAUACGACCUACGGGUGAAAGCAGGGGAUCUUCGGACCUUGCGCGAUUGAAUGAGCCGAUGUCGGAUUAGCUAGUUGGCGGGGUAAAGGCCCACCAAGGCGACGAUCCGUAGCUGGUCUGAGAGGAUGACCGGCCACACUGGAACUGAAACACGGUCCAGACUCCAACGGGAGGCAGCAGUGGGGAAUAUUGGACAAUGGGCGCAAGCCUGAUCCAGCCAUACCGCGUGGGUGAAGAAGGCCUUCGGGUUGUAAAGCCCUUUUGUUGGGAAAGAAAAGCAGCAGGUUAAUACCCCGCUGUUCUGACGGUACCCAAAGAAUAAGCACCGGCUAACUUCGUG